ACGACGCUGGCGGCGUGCCUAAUACAUGCAAGUCGAACGGUCUUUUCUAUGGAAGCUUGCUUCCACUGAGAAGAUAGUGGCGAACGGGUGAGUAACACGUGGGUAACCUGCCCAUAAGAGGGGGAUAACAUCCGGAAACGGGUGCUAAUACCGCAUAGUUUUUCUUGAUCGCAUGAUCGGGAAAGGAAAGACGGCCUUUGUGCUGUCGCUUAUGGAUGGACCCGCGGCGUAUUAGUUAGUUGGUGAGGUAAUGGCUCACCAAGACGAUGAUACGUAGCCGACCUGAGAGGGUGAUCGGCCACAUUGGGACUGAGACACGGCCCAAACUCCUACGGGAGGCAGCAGUAGGGAAUCUUCCGCAAUGGACGAAGUCUGACGGAGCAACGCCGCGUGAGUGAAGAAGGUUUUUCCGGAUCGUAAAACUCUGUUGUCAGAGAAGAACAAGUUGGAGAGUAACUGCUCCAGCCUUGACGGUAUCUGACCAGAAAGCCACGGCUAACUACGUGCCAGCAGCAGC
RNAcentral lists this ribosomal RNA (517 nucleotides) under uncultured bacterium. Its description in RNAcentral is "bacterial SSU rRNA". It matches the Rfam family "Bacterial small subunit ribosomal RNA", at positions 32 to 518 of the family's 1533-position model. The record is from RNAcentral.